This 1242-nucleotide long non-coding RNA is filed under the name Heterocephalus glaber (naked mole-rat). RNAcentral's name for it is "lncRNA (ENSHGLG00100030679.2)". Lineage: Eukaryota; Metazoa; Chordata; Mammalia; Rodentia; Bathyergidae. The record is from RNAcentral.
UAAUGAGAAAAUAAAGAUUAAUGGGCUGGGGAUUUGGCUCAGUGCCACUACACCUGCCUUGCAAGCUCAAGGUCCUGAGUUCGAUCCCCAAUACUGCAAAAAAAAAAAGAAAGAAAGAAAGAUUAAGUAGUGUGACAUACAUCUAGUAAGUGGUACAAGACUAUUACACCAGGUGCAGUGAUGCUCACCUGUGAUCUCUGGAGGCUGAGGCAGGAGGAUCGCAAGUUUGAGUACAGUCUGGGCUACUCGGUAAUUAGCUAGACCUGGGUAAUUGCUACCGCCAAGUAACAGAGGAAGUGAUACAUCACACCUGUGCCCAGGAGCAACACUUCAAAGUGUGUCAGGCUGAAAAAUAUCACAGGUAAAACAGUACAUGUGCAGUGGUCCAAGACUGCUACUUGGGUGGCUGAGGCAGGAGGACUAAGCUCGGGAGUUUGGGGCCAGCUUGGGCAACAUAGGGAUGACAGACAGACAGACAGACAGGCAGGCAGGCAGGCAGGCAGGCAGGCAGACGGGUGGAUGGGUGGGUGGAUGGAUGGAUGGAUGGAUGGGAAGCUGGGCAUGGCCAGGUGAGUAGAGUCUUUUCAAUGAAACAUAAGCCAAUGGGAUAAGUUAUUUGCCCAAGAAUCAGAAUGUGAUGUGCUUGUGACCUGUUCUCUAUCUAUCCAAAGAGGACAAUUCCCUAAGGAAUGACGGACCAACAAGAUGAAAAGUAGCAGGAUCCUGGAAGGACUGGAACAGCUGCCAACUGGACUCUCAUCACAGACUUGGCGAAAGACUUGGGAAUUAUCCGUCCUCUGUUGGAGGAGGAGCUCUCUGCCCAAGCAUCCUAAACCUUCACCCUCUAUAAUAGGCCAUUCAUUUAAGGUGCACAAUGACCCAGAGAGUUGGCUACUAUUAUUAUUCCUGUUUCACAUGUAAGGUUACUGAGGCUCAGAGAAGGCUGAAUAAUUUGCCCAAAUCUAUCGCUGAACCGCCCUAAAUGGACCCAAUCUUACAAGCUUGCUUGGUGCUUGGAUGGGAGGCUGCUUAUCACUGCCAGAAGCCCGAGGCUUUACAAUAAUAAUAAAUUCACCCACAAUUCCCAAACCAUGUGGUGCAAACAACAUCAGAAGCCAGAUUCCUUCAGCUCUAAAGAACACACACAAGUUCUGACUCACAAGUUCCAGGGCUGAGGCUGAGAAUCUGCAUUUGUAUAAAGCUCCUCUGUUACAGUUUGGAUUAAAAAUAAAAUGUGCCCAC